GCCCAGCUAGCUCAGUUGGUAGAGCAUGAGACACUUAAUCUCAGCGUCAUGGGUCCAAGACCCAUGUUGGGCA
This is a non-coding RNA of Apodemus sylvaticus (European woodmouse), 73 nucleotides long. The record is from the annotation of a RefSeq genome assembly. NCBI's taxonomy places the organism in Eukaryota, Metazoa, Chordata, Mammalia, Rodentia, Muridae.